UUUAAAUUCUUCCACUCCCUUAGCCCAAGUAACUAAUUCAUUAGCCCAACAACAAGAAAAUAAAACCCAUAUGUAAAUACUAUUUCAUCUUCCCCAAUCUACCGUAAGCCUAAAAUGAGAGAACUCCCCUCCCCCCUUUUCACUUGCUGCUACCGCCGCCGCCAUCCUCAGCGCCGCCACCCGCCGUCGCCGCUGACUCUUCCUCUCUCUUCUCCCCUCUCUCUCUCUUUCUCUCUUCUCUCCCUCUCUCUCUCUUUUCUCUCCCUCUUCACCGCCGACAUGCAGAGGCAGCGGCUUCGCCGCCCUCCUCCCGGCAGUCCGGCCGUCUCCGGACAGCAGUAGAGCUGUGCACUCUCUCUCUGUCAGCUUCCUCCCUCUCUCUCUCUCCACUCCGAUUCCCGCCGUCACCGCGAAUCCGCCUCCGUCGCUGGUUCGCGUCCCCGCCGCCAUCACCGUGAACCCCCCCUCCAGCCGCCGACGCCGUCUUUCGACAGAUAUGAAAAAGAACAGAUGUGUUUUUGGAGCGUGGGCCGCCAUCGUCGGCGACGGAGUGCAGAGCUCGUUGCCUGAAGUUAUUCGGCAGAUUCAUCCUCUAAGAUAAGAUUCUUAAUUCAUGCUUACCUUGGUUGUGGGACUUGGAUUAUUGGAUUAUUUAUAUGUUAUGUGAAUUUGGUGAUCCUUAAACAAUUAUCUUGCUAUUUUUUAUUUGAUGGCUAAACAUGGUGUUAAACUUGUUGUGUAUUGUUGAUUUCUGAUUUGAGCAGAUUCUAAUCUCUUUAGAUAUGCAUAUGCUUGUACGUAUGUGCAAGAAAGAAAAGGUUUGUUGUUUACCUCUUUGUGGUGAAAAAGUGUUGUUGGAUUGUAGCAAUCUCCCUCUUCGAACUCCUCUAUGUUUUGUGGGGUUGGUGUGCGCAGAGAGAUAAGGGGGUGUGAUGGUGAAAAAGAAAAAAAACUGAUUGUAUAUCUAUAUGCAUAUUCACAAAAGAUGGUAGUGAAAGUAACAGUAACAGUGUAGCAAGUUGUGGUAGAAAGUUGUCUUACACAUUACUAUCUCAAAUUAUUCUCCUUUGUCAGGAGGAGAUAAUGAUCUGCCAUUCUAAUUAAAUGCAACAUUAAAUGCUAUUGAAAAAAAUUCGAUCCACUUAAUCUACCCUCUUUUUAUUUUAUUUAUUUAUUUAAUGAUUUAAGUAAUUGUUUAUUUAUUUAUUCACUUGUUUAUUAAAUUUUGGUGUAGGUAUAAUCGUUUCAAGUUCGUGGCUUUGGUGUAGGAAAACAAAUAACGUCCAUAGUAUUCCCUAAUGAUGUACCGGACUUUCUUGGAGUGCGAGCACGACCGUUGAACGGGCUACGUGAACUUUUCUCUAAUUGUAAUAGAUAAGGAUUUGAUAAAUUUGUAUAAUAGUAAUUUAGCGGACUUCGGAGAUA
Molecule: long non-coding RNA, 1425 nt
Organism: Salvia splendens (bonfire salvia)
Lineage: Eukaryota; Viridiplantae; Streptophyta; Magnoliopsida; Lamiales; Lamiaceae
Exons: 2
Source: RefSeq, a predicted model, not a curated record